Molecule: non-coding RNA, 100 nt
Organism: Marasmius sp. AFHP31
Lineage: Eukaryota; Fungi; Basidiomycota; Agaricomycetes; Agaricales; Marasmiaceae
Source: the annotation of a GenBank genome assembly
UCCCUGGUAGUAUAUCGGUUAGUACACGCGCCUGUCAUAAAAUAAUCAUUGGCUUGGCGAUGUGACGCGCGAAAGCUGGGUUCGACUCCCAGCCAGGGAG